Long non-coding RNA from Ctenopharyngodon idella (grass carp), 3630 nucleotides. RefSeq lists it as uncharacterized. The record is from RefSeq and is a predicted model, not a curated record. Lineage: Eukaryota; Metazoa; Chordata; Actinopteri; Cypriniformes; Xenocyprididae. The transcript is spliced from 2 exons.
GUGAAUAUUUACUGGAGUGAAAAGUGCGACAACUAGCCAAAGAGACCCCUAUAAUGUUGCCACAGUCGCAGUAACAGCAGCAUGUUUACUCGGCACUAGAGGGCAGAUGUUCAGCGGAUCUACAGGUGUUGUUGUCAUCGAGUGUUUGACCACCGCAGACGGUAAUUAGCGGCUCAGCCCUUCACGCUGGGCGCGAUAACAUCAGUGGUUGAAGAUGCGCCCUUAUUCAUCUUCCCGCCAUCAGCGGUCACGGUCCAUUUCCGCUGCACAAACGCCCGCGGAUGUUUUCCUGAUUAAAGCGGCAGAUAGAGCGCCUGUGGGCGGGAUGAGCGGAGUCAAGUGCAGCCUGUCACUGAUGAUGCGGGGAUAUUUUUGGUCGAGGAGAAUGUCCUCCAUUGCUUUAGUCAUCUGCCGUCCACAAGCUUAACAAUAACACACACUCUAAAGACAUCGGGCAGAUGUCCCUGUGGAUGAAGAGUACAUUUUAAAUGUAAGUAUUGUCUUACUCAUAUCUGCUGAUCUAUCCAACCAUACAUUUGGAAAUACUACCAGUCAAAAGUUUGGACACAAUUAAUUCAUGUUUCCCACAAUUUAAAAAAAAAUCUUUUUUCCAAAAAUAAUUGAAAUUAAUUUUGUAGAAAUAAAACACAAUUUGUACACCCAAAAAGGUUUUUAAAGUACAAUUUUUUUUAAAGUACAAAUUUAUUUUAUUGUUGUAUUGUUUUUUUUUUUCAUUAUUUAGUAGGAUCAGAUAUUGAAGGAAAAUGCAAAGCUUCAUAUUUUUAAUGAAUUUACUGCUAUUAUAAAAUGUAGAUAGUAAUAAAAAAAGUAGGUGUACAAACUUUUGACUGUUAUUGUAAGUUUUAAAACUAAAUAAUUAAAAUACAUGGCAAAUAAAUCACACAACUUUUGUGAAAUAGGCCAUGUAUUAAUAGAUUGGUUUAAGCAUAGCAUUAAAAGAUAUUUAGCCACAGAACACAUGAAUGGAGAUGUUAGGAUUCUCUUUAGGGUUAAUGUCCUAUUUUAUAUAUAUAUUCCAUUGUUUUUUUAAUGCAAUAAUUGAUUAAAGGUCUUAACCACCAAUCUUCUUCCAAAUCAGUCAUACUCCAUCUUUCUGAAAUGGCACUGUUUUUUCUGAUGUUAACUAACUGCUAAAACAAUGUUUGCUAAACACUGCUGUGCACAGACAAACAAACUGGUGGCAGGAACAAGUUAGGCCUGAUAUACGAGCCUCUUCUGCAAUUCCUCUCAGAGAUAAACAUCAUUAAUACGCUACAAAGUACUUAGGGGGGGACAUUGGUUGCUACUUUGCUUGGGGGGGUGGUUUACCGUGAGGCAAUGAGCUGUGGCGUUCUCUGCGCUGUGUGGGAUACGUGGCAGAUGUCGAUGACAAAAUCCGCAUUUUCAUGUCGAGAGUGGAACCCUGCCACAUACUCCAACAAUAACAAAUAAAAAACUCAAAUAUGGUUUUACCCUGAAUUAUUUGAAAUGCAUGUCAUGCCGUUAAGAUUUAUGUGGGAUCGUGUGUAACGUUAAAGACCAAAAGGAAGAAAUUGAGGAAAAAGUAAACAUAAAAAAUGUGAAAUUGGUUGAAGCCACAUUUUUACAGUAAUUGUUUGCUUAUGGACAAUUGCUUUUGAACUGUAAGCUAAGAUUUCCUCUACAAAUUAGCUCAAAAAAGACCCAUCGAUGACAGACCUGCAUUUUGUUUAUACAGCAGCUAUUGUGAUGCACAUUCUAGAACAUUAACUUUAUUUUGAUCUGUAAAACUAGUGUCAUAAGUGGAGCAGAUGUACCUGUCAACCCUUUCCACUGAGAAGCAAGCAACAGACGCAUUUUCUGGGAUUUCUAUCUCCACCUGGUGGCUCUCUGCAUGUUCACCUCCAAUCCUUGUAAAUCAAGAGCUGAGAUGUUGAAAAUGAGUCCUUGCUCUUAAAAACUAUUGGAAGCCACUAGGAAGUAAAGAAAAAAACACAAAGAUAAUUUACACAGAGCAGAGAUAUCAUGAAGUGCAAUACUAUUCUACACACGUCCCCUUACACAUACGCACUGUUGCAUAUGACGCUCAGAGUAUAUUUGAACUAUACGACAUAGUCCGGCAACACGAAUAGAGAUAUUAACAGUGUUGACCUUGGCUUGGUUUGUGAGAAUGAUUUGGCCGGAGCCGCCGGCUUGACUCGCUGGUGUUUUGGCUUUAGCUGUGUAUUAAAGAAGAAAAGCAAAAAGCGCAGCUCGACUCCCAGUGGACAAUGUGGUUCUAAAUGGGGGGAUUGUGUGCGAGUCGAGAGUUUCUCCAGGGCAUCAGACCUGAAUGGUACAGUAGCAUGAGCCCAUUUAAAAGUAAUUACCACAGCAUGUUCCAGGGAACGUGUGUAGCCCUGCCAUUCCAUAUGAAUGGUGGAAGAACAUGUUACCAAAACUGACUUUUGUGUGCCGUUAAGGCACGGGAACAGAUUUUAUAUACAUAAUGAGCAACUCACUGCAGUAAGAAAAACAAAUUAUGCAUGGGACAAUAAAGCCUAAUACAAAAGGUUAAAUAUAAACAGCAAGAAAAAAGCAUUUCUGCAAACACAUGACAUGGAUGUUAAUUCAAAACACAUCUUUGUGAGUCAGAAAACAGAGUGCACCACUACAAAAGUAUCAUUCACUGCCAUGAAACAGUGGAUGCAUUUAAUUGUUUGAACAUAUAAAAAUAAACCACAACAAAGCAACACACAUUUUGUACAAAUAAAAACCUGAAAUAGUUCCAUUGUUUUGAUUCGGAAAGGUGGAUACAAGAUUUACAUUGGUAACUAAAACACUGCAAUUUAUGAGCACAGUAAACCUGGUUAAGAAUGUACAUACUCUAUUACCAAAAUAAAACUCAUGGCAUGAUGGUAUGGAUCUUUAAAAUAGCUGCUUAAUAAUAAUAAUAACAAUAAUAAUGUAACAUUUCGUAUUGAUGAGCAGUUGCACUUGAUUUGAUGACAAAUUUUGCUAAGACAAAAAAAUAAACUAUUGCCCAAUGUUAAUGAUAGAAGUGUCCUAAGGGGCUCACAGACUGAUAAAAGAUUUAAAACAAAACCUCUUAAGAAUUAUACAAGUAUAAAAGGCUACAAACAUUAAUAAAUUACAUCACUGACACAGAAAACACUUCACAAGGUGCUAGUAAAAUAACUUUAAAAUCCAUCAGGGGUAUUUUAGCUCAGGCUGGUCGUAGAAACAUUGUUGAUUUUUUUUUUCUCCUUAUCCCCCAUCAUAAAUGAAUCAUAAUACACAUGAUUUUCUGCAUGUAAGGCCAUAUGAGAAUAAAUGUUACACUGUGUAUUUUGUUCUCCAGGCAACACCUUUAGUCUAAUGUAACAGAAUGAAAUGAAAACAAAACAAUGGUUAAAAAAAGUACAGCUAUUGUGUAUCUAACAAAAAAAAUGAAAAACGUAAUGACUAUUUCUAUAUCUUUAUAUAUAUUUUUGUUUGUAAUUAGCAAAAACUAGUAAAAAUGUAUAAUGAAGUAUUAAGGAAAAAAGGAUACAAAAAGUAGUCAUUUAAAAAGCUAUAUACAGGCUACAUUCUACAUACUGUACUGUGAAGCAAUAUAAAUGCAUAUUUCAUUCUAGGGUAAUUGGUGCUGCCUGUGAAACAAACAGAAGA